Molecule: ribosomal RNA, 253 nt
Filed under: uncultured bacterium
Lineage: Bacteria
Description: partial 16S ribosomal RNA
Rfam family: Bacterial small subunit ribosomal RNA
Source: RNAcentral
UACGUAGGGUGCAAGCGUUGUUCGGAAUUACUGGGCGUAAAGCGCGCGCAGGCGGUCUUCCAAGUCAGUGGUGAAAGCCCGGAGCUCAACUCCGGAACUGCCAUUGAAACUGUUUAGCUUGAGGAUGAGAGAGGUGAGUGGAAUUCCCAGUGUAGAGGUGAAAUUCGUAGAUAUUGGGAAGAACACCGGUGGCGAAGGCGGCUCACUGGCUCAUUACUGACGCUCAGGCGCGAUAGCGUGGGGAUCAAACAGG